UCAGAAGAUGGGUGGCCAGCAGGAUGAGGGAGGUGAUUGUCCCCCUCUAUUCUGCCUUCAUGUACGUUCCAGCUGAAGUACGUUGUCCAAAUAUGGGGUCCCCAACAUAGGAAAGAUGUGGAGCUUUUGGAGACAGUCCUGAGGAAGGCCAAAAAGAUGAUCAGAGGGCUGGAGAAUCUUCAUCCUUCUGGAUUUGUUCAGCGUUGUCAGAAAAGUAAAAUGUAAAGGACCAUUGAAGGAAGAUGCAAACCUGGCAGUACUGAAUACAGUGUAUAGAAUGAACUAGUAAUUCCAUAUGGAUCAUUUAAGUUGCAAGAAUUCACAUGAAAGAUCAUCAUCGGGUGGAAGAUUAAUAUCAGCAAAUGGAAGAGAUGUAUGAUGAAAAAAAUUAAGUAAUCAAAACUAAACAGAAGCCUCUAUAGCACUGGUGAUAGUGGAAAGAAAAAACUGACAUGUCAGAGGAGUCAGAUGAGUAUGAAUGAACAGCUGCUGUUCACCCAGCCUCAGGAGUUCAGAGGUACAAUCAAGGCCAAGACCUCACUCUUCAUAAAGAAGAAAUACAGAGCGCAAGGAAAUAGGAUGUAUCGCCAAAUAUCCGUGUCACUUCCCCUGAGGAAUAAGUCUGUUAUGUUAAAAGUUCCCUACUGCUUUGGUAAUGCAGACUUCAUCAAAUACCUCAGAACUCCAGUGUGUUAUCAUUAAGUUGGGAUUUUCAGUGACUCGUGGAUGCAUCUAUUCUUUAUUUUCUACACCACAAUUCUGUCUGCAUUACAAAUUACAGAAGGCCAUCACGUCUUCUAUCUCACGUUUCAGCUUUUCCUGUGAAUACAAAGAAGUUUCAGAAGCUCUUUUCCAAGGAGAUUAUAAGGUUGAAAAUGGAUUUUAGGAUCGCCAGUGAUGAGGGAGAAGUGAAAGCUAGUCUGCUUCACAAGGAGAUCAAGCCAAGGGGGACCACACACAAGUCCCCAGUGUGGUAGCAGCAGGCAGCUCUCUAAGUCCAGAGCAAGGAGAUGGCUGGGUACAAGUUGGGACACAGAACAGAAGGCAAGAUAGGUACAAAGGCAA
Non-coding RNA from Meleagris gallopavo (turkey), 1065 nucleotides. The record is from RefSeq and is a predicted model, not a curated record. NCBI's taxonomy places the organism in Eukaryota, Metazoa, Chordata, Aves, Galliformes, Phasianidae.